GACGAACGCUGGCGGCGUGCCUAAUACAUGCAAGUCGAACGAACCGCGACUAGGUGCUUGCACUUGGUCAAGGUGAGUGGCGAACGGGUGAGUAACACGUGGGUAACCUACCUCAUAGUGGGGGAUAACAGUCGGAAACGACUGCUAAUACCGCAUAGGACAUAGGAUCACAUGAUCCAGUGAGGAAAGGUGGCGCAAGCUAUCGCUAAGAGAUGGACCCGCGGUGCAUUAGCUAGUUGGUAGGGUAAAGGCCUACCAAGGCGAUGAUGCAUAGCCGACCUGAGAGGGUGAUCGGCCACAUUGGGACUGAGACACGGCCCAAACACCUACGGGAGGCAGCAGUAGGGAAUCUUCCGCAAUGGACGCAAGUCUGACGGAGCAACGCCGCGUGAGUGAAGAAGGUCUUCGGAUCGUAAAGCUCUGUUGUUAGAGAAGAACAGCGCAUAGAGUAACUGUUAUGCGUGUGACGGUAUCUAACCAGAAAGCCACGGCUAACUACGUG
RNAcentral lists this ribosomal RNA (502 nucleotides) under uncultured bacterium. RNAcentral's name for it is "partial 16S ribosomal RNA". It matches the Rfam family "Bacterial small subunit ribosomal RNA", at positions 28 to 507 of the family's 1533-position model. The record is from RNAcentral.